This 299-nucleotide small nuclear RNA is filed under the name Mus caroli (Ryukyu mouse). RNAcentral's name for it is "sRNA (MGP_CAROLIEiJ_G0008717.1)". The stretch from base 3 to 270 matches the Rfam family "7SK RNA". From Rfam's summary of the family: 7SK was discovered as an abundant small nuclear RNA in the mid-70s but a possible function has only recently been suggested. Two independent studies have found that 7SK RNA binds the CDK9/cyclin T complex (known as elongation factor P-TEFb). Lineage: Eukaryota; Metazoa; Chordata; Mammalia; Rodentia; Muridae. The record is from RNAcentral.
GAGUGUGAGCUGUCUGUCUGUGACAUAUGCCACCAAGCUGAUUGCCAGGGUUCAUUCUUGGAUCUGGCUGGCUGGGUGUCUCCUUCCUCCCCGGCUCCAUAUGUCUGUGUCAUUCCCUGAGUUGCACAGUCAGCGGAAGAGGACCCCGAAGAGAAGGACCCCACUUCAGUCAAGGGUAUACCAGCCAGCAGCUGCACUCCCCUGAUAGAUCUCCAAAUGAGCUCUCAAAAUAGACUUACCAGUCAGGAUCCGUCAUCUGUUCUCCAGCCUUUGAGAGAACACUUAUGUUGUCCCCAGAG